Turdus rufiventris (rufous-bellied thrush) is the source of this 101-nucleotide non-coding RNA. Lineage: Eukaryota; Metazoa; Chordata; Aves; Passeriformes; Turdidae. The record is from the annotation of a GenBank genome assembly.
GGGCUGGGUGGGAAGGGACCUUUCAGGCCAUGCAGUGCCGCCCUGCCAUGGGCAGGGACACCUCCCACUGUCCCAGGGUGCUCCAAGCCCUGCCCAGCCUG